Molecule: ribosomal RNA, 119 nt
Filed under: Rhinogobius sp. OR
Lineage: Eukaryota; Metazoa; Chordata; Actinopteri; Gobiiformes; Gobiidae
Description: partial 16S ribosomal RNA
Source: RNAcentral
CUUUGGCUCUUAACAGCUAGCCCACAACCUAAAUUCAACAAACAACAUUAAUAAACCCACACUCCGAACCCGCUAAAUAGCCAAACCAUUUUACCACCCUAGUAUAGGCGAUAGAAAAG